RNAcentral lists this ribosomal RNA (236 nucleotides) under uncultured bacterium. RNAcentral describes it as "partial 16S ribosomal RNA". It matches the Rfam family "Bacterial small subunit ribosomal RNA", at positions 1265 to 1500 of the family's 1533-position model. The record is from RNAcentral.
AGGCAAAUCUCAAAAAUAACGUCCCAGUUCGGACUGUAGUCUGCAACCCGACUACACGAAGCUGGAAUCGCUAGUAAUCGCGAAUCAGCAUGUCGCGGUGAAUACGUUCCCGGGUCUUGUACACACCGCCCGUCACACCAUGGGAGUCGAUAACGCCCGAAGUCGGUGACCCAACCGCAAGGAGGGAGCCGCCGAAGGCGGGAUUGGUAACUGGGGUGAAGUCGUAACAAGGUAAC